CCUACGGGAGGCUGCAGUGAGGAAUAUUGGUCAAUGGACGAGAGUCUGAACCAGCCAAGUAGCGUGAAGGAUGACUGCCCUAUGGGUUGUAAACUUCUUUUAUAAAGGAAUAAAACGAGGCACGUGUGCCUGUUUGCAUGUACUGUAUGAAUAAGGAUCGGCUAAUUCCGUGCCAGCAGCCGCGGUAAUACGGAGGAUCCGAGCGUUAUCCGGAUUUAUUGGGGUUAAAGGGAGCGUAGGUGGGCUGUUAAGUCAGUUGUGAAAGUUUGCGGCUCAACCGGAACAUUGCAAUUGAUACUGGCAGUCUUGAGUACAGUUGAGGUAGGCGGAAUUCGUGGUGUAGCGGUGAAAUGCUUAGAUAUCACGAGGAACCCCGAUUGCGAAGGCAGCUUACUAAGCUGUGACUGACGUUGAUGCUCGAAGGUGCGGGUAUCAAACAGGAUUAGAUACCCCUGUAGUC
This 460-nucleotide ribosomal RNA is filed under the name uncultured bacterium. Its description in RNAcentral is "partial 16S ribosomal RNA". It matches the Rfam family "Bacterial small subunit ribosomal RNA", at positions 338 to 795 of the family's 1533-position model. The record is from RNAcentral.